GGGAAAGAAAUGCAGCCUGGCAGUUGUUGACUCUCUCUGUUCAGUGUGUCGAGGAAGAUGAUUAUACUUUCAAGACAGACCCGAAAAGAAGAUACCAGGACCUGAAGAUACACAUCGUCCUCUUUUUAAACAAGAGGAAGGGACUCCCUUCAGUGUUACUUAUGGUCCUCAGAUACACAAGAAAAACCAUCCGAGAAUUGAUGAAGAAAGAAGUUGUUCAGACGGCAUAUCUGCUCCUGCAAAAACAAAAAAGGGGAUAUGUAGUGGGAAUUCCUAAUAAUGUACUUUCACAGCCUUGAGAAAUUCCACAGAAAUAACACCUGGAAAAACAGCAUAUAUUAAGAAACUAUGUUAAUGAUUAUCUUUCAUGUUUUUCUUAAGAAUAAUUGCCUUGUUACAAACCCCAAGGCCAGACCCAGAAGGGAGUAUGACUGGAUCAUGAAGGCAUGGACUUUGGAACACCGGGUCGGCGUUGGGCAUGAACACUGCCUACACACUUGCUGAUUGUUCCCGAGACAACCCCAGAAGAGAACAGCCAGGGGUAAAACAAGGAGAUCUGAGCUAUGUCAAUGUAGUCCCUGACAUUUAGUAGUAUGUGAUUAACACAACAGGUGUGUUGAGAAAGAUAAGGCCAAAGAAACUCUUGUAGUCUGCAAUUAGGAAUAAAAGCUGGACUCAGAGUGGACUCUGCACCUCAGUCCAGUAGAGGCUGCAGGUCCCCUGACCCA
Long non-coding RNA from Cervus elaphus (red deer), 728 nucleotides. RefSeq lists it as uncharacterized. NCBI's taxonomy places the organism in Eukaryota, Metazoa, Chordata, Mammalia, Artiodactyla, Cervidae. The record is from RefSeq and is a predicted model, not a curated record. The transcript has 3 exons.